This 631-nucleotide ribosomal RNA is filed under the name uncultured bacterium. Its description in RNAcentral is "bacterial SSU rRNA". It matches the Rfam family "Bacterial small subunit ribosomal RNA", at positions 539 to 1169 of the family's 1533-position model. The record is from RNAcentral.
CGUUAUCNGGAUUUACUCGGGCGUAAAGCGCGCGUAGGUGGUUAGAUCAGUCGGAUGUGAAAGCCCCGGGCUCAACCUGGGAAUUGCAUUCGAUACUGUCUGACUAGAGUUUAGUAGAGGAAAGUAGAAUUCCAGGUGUAGCGGUGAAAUGCGUAGAGAUCUGGAGGAAUACCAGUGGCGAAGGCGGCUUUCUGGACUAAAACUGACACUGAGGUGCGAAAGCGUGGGUAGCAAACAGGAUUAGAUACCCUGGUAGUCCACGCCGUAAACGAUGUCAACUAGCCGUUGGGUCAAACUAUGACUUAGUGGUGCAGCUAACGCAUUAAGUUGACCGCCUGGGGAGUACGGCCGCAAGGUUAAAACUCAAAUGAAUUGACGGGGGCCCGCACAAGCGGUGGAGCAUGUGGUUUAAUUCGAUGCAACGCGAAGAACCUUACCUACCCUUGACAUCCUCAGAACUUGUUAGAGAUAACUUGGUGCCUUCGGGAACUGAGUGACAGGUGCUGCAUGGCUGUCGUCAGCUCGUGUCGUGAGAUGUUGGGUUAAGUCCCGUAACGAGCGCAACCCUUAUCCCUAGUUGCCAGCACAUGAUGGUGGGAACUCUAAGGAGACUGCCGGUGAUAACCGGAGG